This 503-nucleotide long non-coding RNA is filed under the name Homo sapiens (human). RNAcentral describes it as "HSALNT0080178". Lineage: Eukaryota; Metazoa; Chordata; Mammalia; Primates; Hominidae. The record is from RNAcentral.
CCAGCACAUCACACAGCUCUGCCCUUGAGGACAAAACUUGUGUGUUGAGAUUCAUGUCGUGAACUGUUUUUCAAGAAGCAAUGCAGAAACUAUACAGGAAAAUCUAAGAAAUCUAUGGACCCUUUGAAGGAAGCAGGAGGCUACAGCCUACACUGAGUCAGGUGAACAGCGGUGAGUGCCCAGAUCAUGAGAGAGGGAGAGUUUGCCUUUAGGAUACACACUUCCACUGGGGACCCUGAAAGACCAGGCCCUAACCCCAUCUAAUGCAGGAACCCACUUGUGCAGGGUCAUAGAGUAUAGAAGCAGAAACAGCAGCAGAAAGACACUUGCAUGGAUCUCAGAUCCCAGCAUGGACUGCGGACAGCCAUUCCUUACAGUUCCUCACAGGGGAUGCUGCAGAGGACAGCCAAAAAUUUCAGGUGGUGGUCAUAGGUUGAAAGAAGUUCCCAACAGGGUUUCAUGAUAUAAACUUGGGUAGGGAUGAACCCCCUUGGUCAGGGCCG